This 318-nucleotide ribosomal RNA is filed under the name Walkerella sp. isol_13. Its description in RNAcentral is "eukaryotic LSU rRNA". The record is from RNAcentral. Lineage: Eukaryota; Metazoa; Arthropoda; Insecta; Hymenoptera; Pteromalidae.
UAGACGCUUGCGUUCGAAAUUCGCAAGCGAUGCCUGAGCGUUCGUCGAUACGCGCGCGCGUUACGCGCGCGUGUUAUACGGCGUCGCUCGAAAUGAUGUUUCGAACGAACGCAGAGCCGACGACCAUUCGAACGCCACACGAAUCGAGAGAGUUGUGUGAGCGCGCGUAACCGUCGAGUCCCGGAGCUCUUUGCGCGUAAGCGCCGAGCGGACCGACGAGUCUCGCGCGCUCUCUCUCCCGUUUCGACGGAGUUGUCCGGCUUGUGAAACUAUUCAAACGACGACCUCAGAGCAGGCGAGACUACCCGCUGAAUUUAA